AUGGGCGGUGUUAUUGCUAAACGGUUAAGUUUGAACCGUACAAAGGGCCCCAUCUUUGGAGGUAUUUAUGCUUCACGCCUUGCUGCACAUUUUAACAUACCUAUUAGGCUCUAUGAGAAAGAAGAAAAAUUGCUGCCCAAUGCUUAUUUAGAUUAUAAGAGUAUGGUAGCGCAUGAUUUCAUCGUUAAGAAUAGGGAAGGGGAGCUUAAAUACGAAUUGUUCUUUGAUAAACAUCACCUUGAGACUAUUACCUUGCCUGCUCCUUCCUUGUUUAAUUUAUCUGAAGGUCCGUAUCUCGUUCCGUGGGCGGACAUUCAAGCCCACCGGAACCCUACACCAGCCCCGGAGCCGGAACCACAAUUUGAGCCUCCACGACAGUCUGAUUACUUUUGGGAUCCGGAGAUGACUGCCAGCCAGUGGCAGUCAGAGUCCUCUUCAUCUCAGUACGACCCCAGCUACAACUAUGGAUAUCCGCCAGGCCAUCCUUGGCAAUAA
This 495-nucleotide ribosomal RNA is filed under the name Triticum aestivum (bread wheat). Its description in RNAcentral is "partial small subunit ribosomal RNA". Lineage: Eukaryota; Viridiplantae; Streptophyta; Magnoliopsida; Poales; Poaceae. The record is from RNAcentral.